UUUAAAUCUGUUGUAAGAAUUACUAGGAUUUGUUUAGAGUUUAUUUAGGAUUUAUUUAAAGUUUGGUUAGGAUUUAAUUAGAAUUUUUUUAGGAUUUUAUUAGGAUUUAGUUAAGAUUUGUCUAGAAUUUGAUUAGAGUUUGGUUAGGAUUUUUUAGGAUUUGAGUAGGAUUUAUGUAGGAUUUGGUUAGGAUUUGACAAGGAUUUGACUAGAAUUUGAUUAGAUUUUGACUAGGAUUUAAUUGAGGUUUCUAUUUUAAUAUUUUAUUAAGGUUUUUAUUUUAGUAUAUUUUUAAAUUUCUUUGUUAUUUCUUUAUGAUUCUUUAAAGGACCUCUAAGAAUACUUUGUGUUUUUUAUACAAUUCCUUUGAAAUUUUGAUUGA
This 382-nucleotide long non-coding RNA is filed under the name Physcomitrium patens. RNAcentral describes it as "long non-coding RNA (PPAT_LNC003550)". Lineage: Eukaryota; Viridiplantae; Streptophyta; Bryopsida; Funariales; Funariaceae. The record is from RNAcentral.